This 544-nucleotide ribosomal RNA is filed under the name uncultured Tissierella sp. RNAcentral's name for it is "bacterial SSU rRNA". It matches the Rfam family "Bacterial small subunit ribosomal RNA", at positions 354 to 918 of the family's 1533-position model. Lineage: Bacteria; Bacillati; Bacillota; Tissierellia; Tissierellales; Tissierellaceae. The record is from RNAcentral.
CUGNGGAAUAUUGCACUCUGGAGGAAACUCUGAUGCAGCGACGCCGCGUGAACGAUGAAGGCUUUCGGGUCGUAAAGUUCUGUCCUAAGGGAAGAUAAUGACGGUACCUUAGGAGGAAGCACCGGCUAACUACGUGCCAGCAGCCGCGGUAAUACUUAGGGGGCGAGCGUUGUCCGGAAUUAUUGGGCGUAAAGGGUUCGCAAGCGGCUUUUUAAGUCAGGUGUGAAAGAUCACGGCUCAACCGUGGUAAGCACUUGAAACUGAAAAGCUUGAGUCAAGGAGAGGAAAGUGGAAUUCCUAGUGUAGCGGUGAAAUGCGUAGAUAUUAGGAGGAAUACCACUGGCGAAGGCGACUUUCUGGACUUGUACUGACGCUGAGGAACCAAAGCAUGGGGAGCAAACAGGAUUAGAUACCCUGGUAGUCCAUGCCGUAAACGAUGAGUGCUAGGUGUCGGGUGUCAAAACUCGGUGCCGCAGCUAACGCAUUAAGCACUCCGCCUGGGGAGUACGUACGCCAGUAUGAAACUCANGGGGAAUUGACGGGC